This 274-nucleotide ribosomal RNA is filed under the name uncultured bacterium. RNAcentral describes it as "partial 16S ribosomal RNA". It matches the Rfam family "Bacterial small subunit ribosomal RNA", at positions 523 to 796 of the family's 1533-position model. The record is from RNAcentral.
AUACGAACUGCGCAAACGUUAUUCGGAAUCACUGGGCUUAAAGGGUCCGUAGGCGGCCAGACAAGUCAGGUGUGAAAGCUCUCGGCUCAACCGAGGAAUUGCGCUUGAAACUGUUUGGCUUGAGUACGAUAGGGGUGUGCGGAACUUCUGGUGGAGCGGUGAAAUGUGUUGGGAUCAGAAGGAACGCCGGUGGCGAAAGCGGCACACUGGGUCGUAACUGACGCUGAGGGACGAAAGCUAGGGUAGCGAACGGGAUUAGAAACCCCGGUAGUCC